This 480-nucleotide ribosomal RNA is filed under the name uncultured Leptotrichia sp. RNAcentral's name for it is "bacterial SSU rRNA". It matches the Rfam family "Bacterial small subunit ribosomal RNA", at positions 8 to 507 of the family's 1533-position model. Lineage: Bacteria; Fusobacteriati; Fusobacteriota; Fusobacteriia; Fusobacteriales; Leptotrichiaceae. The record is from RNAcentral.
AGAGUUUGAUCCUGGCUCAGGAUGAACGCUGACAGAAUGCUUAACACAUGCAAGUCUUUGGCGAAGCUGUGCUUGCACAGCCUAGCCAAGGCGGACGGGUGAGUAACGCGUAAGGAACUUGCCCUGCAGUCAGGGAUAACAGACGGAAACGACUGAUAAGACCUGGUAAAGUCAGGCGGACUCAUGUCCAGCCUGAUGAAAGAGAUGCUGCAGGAGAGCCUUGCGUCCUAUUAGCUUGUUGGUGGGGUAACGGCUCACCAAGGCGAUGAUAGGUAGCCGGCCUGAGAGGGUGGACGGCCACAAGGGGACUGAGAUACGGCCCUUACUCCUACGGGAGGCAGCAGUGGGGAAUAUUGGACAAUGGGGGCAACCCUGAUCCAGCAAUUCUGUGUGCACGAUGAAGGUUUUCGGAUUGUAAAGUGCUUUCAGCAGGGAAGAAAAAUGACGGUACCUGCAGAAGAAGCGACGGCUAAAUACGUG